Megalobrama amblycephala (Wuchang bream) is the source of this 1323-nucleotide long non-coding RNA. RefSeq lists it as uncharacterized. The transcript is spliced from 4 exons. NCBI's taxonomy places the organism in Eukaryota, Metazoa, Chordata, Actinopteri, Cypriniformes, Xenocyprididae. The record is from RefSeq and is a predicted model, not a curated record.
CAGCAAGGUUUUGAUCAUUUAGAGGCCUUAGAAAUUAAGAUAUCAAAUAUGAUACAGUAUAAGAUGUAUAUUGGUAAGACAGUUACUUAGUUUGUCAGUGCAAAAACAUGUUCUUUAUCUGGGUAAGAUGCGCUAUGCUGAACUUAUAUUACUGACCAACAUUUAUUAGACUGUUAAAUCAGCCAUAAAAGUCAUCAGACGGGAUGUGAAGUCAAUCAUCUUGAUUUAUGUUGGCUUGGUGUUAAAGUGUGGAGUAGCUUAAAGGCCGCGCGAAAUGCACACAGAAUAUGGCACGUGCCAGCCAGGUGGCUCUCUGGGCGCGAGCUUGGUUGACUGGAGUAAGGCGCGUCAUCCAUCUCUCCUGCUCUGACUAGAUUACCGGAGUCUUCGGCCUUCGCUCACUACGGCGAUGUGGGAGCGGCCCAUAACGACGAAAAACAGCCAUAUGGUGUCUCUCCUGCAAGUUACUACCUGAUGCUGUUGCUGAUCAAGAGCAUGCUUCUUAAAUAAAACUGCAGUAAGCAAAAAUGAUGGACUGAUAAUGUUUUAAGCGAAUGAGGGAAUUGGAACAACAUGAUAGCUGCAUUCGCACCCCUUCAGGCAGGUUCCCUGGGGAACACGCUCUACUACAGUCUUCCCCCAUCCACUCCACAGUUCUGAGAUUCACAGAGAUGAUAACACACUCUGUGCUGGAAUACGGUGUGUAGCUGCAGCGGUUAGGAAGAAUGAAUCAUGGAGUUGCUGGAAGGACUGGAGGAAGCUACUGGGAUAAGCAGGAAUGAUAACAGACGAACAGGAUCUGGAGGCAGCACUCAAUCCCGAGUCCAGAGGGUGGAGGAGACGCUGUGAUGUGUCCGUGGUUGUGGUGGGUUCACGCUGAGCAGGGAGAUUGAAGAGGGAUACUCCAGAGCACACUCUCCAUGAGCAAGGGAGGAAAGAGGAAAAAGAGAUCUGUGAUGUGGUGAGAUGAAGGAGAAGGAGGGAUAGAUGAUGUGGUGCAGCGGGUGGGGACACUCUCGUAAGCUGGAUGAUCACAGUCAAACUGCCCCCCCUCCCUGUCUGCAGCCUCACUCCAAAACAUCCCUAACAGAUCAAUCCAUUACUUACUGAAACACACCAUGGCCUGUCUGUGAUUUUUGUCUGGUGGUCACGCUGAGAGAAUACGAGUUUCUCUACAGUUCUCAAAGCAAUAAAUGUGAGCAGAAAAUGAGAGGUAAUAUUAUAUCAACAUGACAUGGAAAGGUAAUGUUUUGUCUUUUGGUUUUGUCUUAAGUAAAUAAGUCAAAUUUAGCUCUUGUCCGGUUUGUUUUGCUCAGUCAUGGC